GUCGUGAGAUGUGGUUAAGUCCGCAACGAGCGCAACCCUUAUUGCUAGUUACCAUCAUUGAGUUGGGGACUCUAGCGAGACUGCCAGUGAUAAACUGGAGGAAGGUGGGGAUGACGUCAAAUCAUCAUGCCCCUUAUGACCUGGGCUACAAACGUGAUACAAUGGCUGAAACAAAGGGCAGCGAAGCAGUGAUGUGGAGCGAAACCCAAAAAGCAGUCUCAGUUCGGAUUGAAGUCUGCAACUCGACUUCAUGAAGUCGGAAUCGCUAGUAAUCGCGGAUCAGAACGCCGCGGUGAAUACGUUCUCGGGGUUU
RNAcentral lists this ribosomal RNA (313 nucleotides) under uncultured Acholeplasma sp. RNAcentral's name for it is "bacterial SSU rRNA". It matches the Rfam family "Bacterial small subunit ribosomal RNA", at positions 1064 to 1382 of the family's 1533-position model. Lineage: Bacteria; Bacillati; Mycoplasmatota; Mollicutes; Acholeplasmatales; Acholeplasmataceae. The record is from RNAcentral.